Molecule: non-coding RNA, 96 nt
Organism: Dendrothele bispora CBS 962.96
Lineage: Eukaryota; Fungi; Basidiomycota; Agaricomycetes; Agaricales
Source: the annotation of a GenBank genome assembly
GGCUCAAUGGUCUAGUAGUAUGAUUCUCCCUUCGGGUGGUCCCGGAUCGGUGCGGUCUCUUGGGAGAGGUCUCGGGUUCAAUUCCCGAUUGAGCCC